AGUAACACGUGGAUAACCUACCUAUAAGACUUGGAUAACUUCGGGAAACCGGAGCUAAUACCGGAUAAUAUUUUGAACCGCAUGGUUCAAAAGUGAAAGACGGUCUUGCUGUCACUUAUAGAUGGAUCCGCGCUGCAUUAGCUAGUUGGUAAUGUAACGGCUUACCAAGGCAACGAUGCAUAGCCGACCUGAGAGGGUGAUCGGCCACACUGGAACUGAGACACGGUCCAG
This 231-nucleotide ribosomal RNA is filed under the name uncultured Staphylococcus sp. RNAcentral describes it as "partial 16S ribosomal RNA". It matches the Rfam family "Bacterial small subunit ribosomal RNA", at positions 109 to 334 of the family's 1533-position model. Lineage: Bacteria; Bacillati; Bacillota; Bacilli; Caryophanales; Staphylococcaceae. The record is from RNAcentral.